GAUGAACGCUGGCGGCGUGCCUAAUACAUGCAAGUCGAGCGAACGGACGCGAAGUUUGCUUCUCUGAUGUUAGCGGCGGACGGGUGAGUAACACGUGGAUAACCUCCUUAUAAGACUGGGAUAACUUCGGGAAACCGGAGCUAAUACUGGAUAAUAUUUUGAACCGUAUGGUUCAAAAGUGAAAGACGGUCUUGCUGUCUCUUAUAGAUGGUUCCGCGCUGCAUUAGCUAGUUGGUAAGGUAACGGCUUACCAAGGCAACGAUGCGUAGCCGACCUGAGAGAGGGGUCGUCGACACGAGAGGUGAGACGCGGUCCGUGCUCCUGCGGGAGGCAGCAGAAGGGAAUCGUCGGCAAUGGGGGGAAACCUGACAAAGCAACGCCGCGUAAGUGGUGGAGAUCUUCGGUUCGGAAUACUCGCUUAUUGGGGAAGAACAGAUGUAUAAGUAGCUGUACACAGCUUGACGGUACCUAGUCAAGAAGCCACGGCUAACUACGUG
RNAcentral lists this ribosomal RNA (497 nucleotides) under uncultured bacterium. Its description in RNAcentral is "partial 16S ribosomal RNA". It matches the Rfam family "Bacterial small subunit ribosomal RNA", at positions 28 to 507 of the family's 1533-position model. The record is from RNAcentral.